GACGAACGCUGGCGGCGUGCUUAACACAUGCAAGUCGAACGGUGAAGCGCCUUCCUUUUUGGUGGGUGUGGAUGAGUGGCGAACGGGUGAGUAACACGUGAGUAACCUGCCCCCUUCUUCUGGAUAACCGCAUGAAAGUGUGGCUAAUACGGGAUAUUCUGGGUCUGUCGCAUGAUGGGUCUGGGAAAGAUAUUGUUUCGGUGGGGGAUGGGCUCGCGGCCUAUCAGCUUGUUGGUGGGGUGAUGGCCUACCAAGGCGGUGACGGGUAGCCGGCCUGGGAGGGUGGACGGUCUCACUGGGACUGGGACACGGCCCGGACUCCUACGGGAGGCAGCAGUGUGGGAUAUUGCACAAUGGGCGCAAGCCUGAUGCAGCGACGCCGCGUGAGGGAUGGAGGCCUUCGGGUUGUGAACCUCUUUCGCCAGUGAAGCAGGCCUGCCUCGUUUGUGGGUGGGUUGACGGUAGCUGGAAAAGAAGCGCCGGCUAACUACGUG
Molecule: ribosomal RNA, 494 nt
Filed under: uncultured bacterium
Lineage: Bacteria
Description: partial 16S ribosomal RNA
Rfam family: Bacterial small subunit ribosomal RNA
Source: RNAcentral